RNAcentral lists this ribosomal RNA (254 nucleotides) under uncultured bacterium. RNAcentral's name for it is "partial 16S ribosomal RNA". It matches the Rfam family "Bacterial small subunit ribosomal RNA", at positions 526 to 779 of the family's 1533-position model. The record is from RNAcentral.
CGUAGGGGCAAGCGUUGUCCGGAUUUAUUGGGCGUAAAGAGCUCGUAGGCGGUUCCGUAAGUCGUGAAGUCAAAUCUCUGGGCUCAACCCAGAAUCGCUUCCGAUACUGCGGUGACUGGAGUCCGGUAGGGGAGUGUGGAAUUCCUGGUGUAGCGGUGAAAUGCGCAGAUAUCAGGAGGAACACCAACAGCGAAGGCAGCACUCUGGGCCGGUACUGACGCUGAGGAGCGAAAGCAUGGGGAGCGAACAGGAUU